This 460-nucleotide ribosomal RNA is filed under the name uncultured bacterium. RNAcentral describes it as "partial 16S ribosomal RNA". It matches the Rfam family "Bacterial small subunit ribosomal RNA", at positions 338 to 795 of the family's 1533-position model. The record is from RNAcentral.
CCUACGGGAGGCAGCAGUGAGGAAUAUUGGUCAAUGGACGAGAGUCUGAACCAGCCAAGUAGCGUGAAGGAUGACUGCCCUAUGGGUUGUAAACUUCUUUUAUAAAGGAAUAAAACGAGGCACGUGUGCCUUUUUGCAUGUACUUUAUGAAUAAGGAUCGGCUAACUCCGUGCCAGCAGCCGCGGUAAUACGGAGGAUCCGAGCGUUAUCCGGAUUUAUUGGGUUUAAAGGGAGCGUAGAUGGGUUGUUAAGUCAGUUGUGAAAGUUUGCGGCUCAACCGUAAAAUUGCAAUUGAUACUGGCAGUCUUGAGUACAGUUGAGGUAGGCGGAAUUCGUGGUGUAGCGGUGAAAUGCUUAGAGAUCACGAAGAACCCCGAUUGCGAAGGCAGCUUACUAAACUGUGACUGACAUUGAUGCUCGAAAGUGUGGGUAGCAAACAGGAUUAGAUACCCUAGUAGUC